This 434-nucleotide ribosomal RNA is filed under the name uncultured Lachnospiraceae bacterium. RNAcentral describes it as "bacterial SSU rRNA". It matches the Rfam family "Bacterial small subunit ribosomal RNA", at positions 341 to 792 of the family's 1533-position model. Lineage: Bacteria; Bacillati; Bacillota; Clostridia; Lachnospirales; Lachnospiraceae. The record is from RNAcentral.
ACGGGAGGCAGCAGUGGGGAAUAUUGCACAAUGGGGGAAACCCUGAUGCAGCGACGCCGCGUGAAGGAAGAAGUAUCUCGGUAUGUAAACUUCUAUCAGCAGGGAAGAUAAUGACGGUACCUGACUAAGAAGCACCGGCUAAAUACGUGCCAGCAGCCGCGGUAAUACGUAUGGUGCAAGCGUUAUCCGGAUUUACUGGGUGUAAAGGGAGCGUAGACGGCAUGGCAAGCCAGAUGUGAAAGGUGGGGGCUCAACUCCCAAGCUGCAUUUGGAACUGUCAAGCUAGAGUAUCGGAGAGGUAAGUGGAAUUCCUAGUGUAGCGGUGAAAUGCGUAGAUAUUAGGAGGAACACCAGUGGCGAAGGCGGCUUACUGGACGAUAACUGACGUUGAGGCUCGAAAGCGUGGGGAGCAAACAGGAUUAGAUACCCUGGUA